CUAACACAUGCAAGUCGAGCGGAAACGAAGAGGUGCUUGCACCUCUGGCGUCGAGCGGCGGACGGGUGAGUAAUGCUUGGGAAUAUGCCUUAUGGUGGGGGACAACAGUUGGAAACGACUGCUAAUACCGCAUGAUGUCUACGGACCAAAGUGGGGGACCUUCGGGCCUCACGCCAUAAGAUUACCCCAAGUGGGAUUAGCUAGUUGGUGAGGUAAUGGCUCACCAAGGCGACGAUCCCUAUCUGGUUUGAGAGGAUGAUCAGCCACACUGGGACUGAGACACGGCCCAGACUCCUACGGGAGGCAGCAGUGGGGAAUAUUGCACAAUGGGCGCAAGCCUGAUGCAGCCAUGCCGCGUGUGUGAAGAAGGCCUUCGGGUUGUAAAGCACUUUCAGUAAGGGGGAAAGGUUAAGUGUUAAUAGCACUUAGCUGUGACGUUACUUACAGAAGAAGCACCGGCUAACUCCGUGCCAGC
RNAcentral lists this ribosomal RNA (475 nucleotides) under uncultured bacterium. RNAcentral's name for it is "bacterial SSU rRNA". It matches the Rfam family "Bacterial small subunit ribosomal RNA", at positions 48 to 512 of the family's 1533-position model. The record is from RNAcentral.